Long non-coding RNA from Notothenia coriiceps (black rockcod), 467 nucleotides. RefSeq lists it as uncharacterized. The record is from RefSeq and is a predicted model, not a curated record. The transcript has 3 exons. NCBI's taxonomy places the organism in Eukaryota, Metazoa, Chordata, Actinopteri, Perciformes, Nototheniidae.
UUGUGUGUGGAUAAGCAGCAGCGGAGCGCACGGCUGAGGACUCUUUAGCGCAACUCCAAACACAAAUGGAUAUUUACGUGGCUUUGUUUUUUCUUUUCUUUUUUACCAAACCAGCUUUGGCGUUUGAAUCAGAUCAAGACUACCAGAUUGAUAUCAUCAACGAACUUGACCUGGCAAAUGCCACCUAUGGAAUUACCCAAGUGGCAGGGCUUCACAACAGCAGCAAAGCCUUUCUCUUCCGAGUGCCCUAAAAGAGGAUACAUGUCAAGAAAGUGAUUACAGAGUGAGAGACAGAGGGGAAGAGAUCCCGAUGACUGCUCAAGAGAAAGACUGUUCUGUUUUGGUCCUGCUUGGCUGCACUUCCCGACAAACUGCCAGGAACAUCAGCAGUGAAAAUGUUAUCAUCAUAUUUGAAACUUUCUGUAAUUAAUGUAGGUUGGCUCAGUUUUCGGAGGCAGUAUGAUUUA